RNAcentral lists this long non-coding RNA (1362 nucleotides) under Papio anubis (olive baboon). RNAcentral's name for it is "lncRNA (ENSPANG00000037563.1)". Lineage: Eukaryota; Metazoa; Chordata; Mammalia; Primates; Cercopithecidae. The record is from RNAcentral.
GUUACAUUGGGAGGAAUUAGGGGUUAGGGCUUCAACAUAUAAAUUUUGGGAAGACACAAUUUAGCUCAUAACAUUCAGGUCAUAAUGGCAAUCUAGGAAGGUGGAGUUCUAAAGCUCAGUCAUUGGCUGGAAGCUGGUGUGCUCAUCUUAUUAGAAUUUGUAGCCCAGGAAGGCCAAGGUCAACGAUUUCAAGUCUCCUCUUUGGAUUGGCAGGAAGUGGGAUUGCUUGAUGCUCACAGAUAUAAGGACCAUUUACGGAAGGUUUACCACACACCAGGCACAGUGCUCAGAGCCUCAUGAGUCUCUCACUUAAUCCUCAUGACAGCCCUGCCAGCUUUGUAGGAUGGCCAUAUUUGGCUGAAAAGCCUGACAAAUGAGAACAAAUGUUUGCAAAUAUUGCUGGUAAGCAGUUUCUGUGUAAAGUUGUUUCAUUUUAACAAUUUGUGGGGGUGGAGUGGGAGGGGUUCUCUUUAGUGAAGUGGAGCAGAGCUGAGUGCUUAUGAGGGGAGGUAAGAGGAAUGGAGAGAAGAGAAGAAAGGAGAGCAUGUCCAACAUUCUAACUUUUUAGAAGUAAAGAGUAAAAUUAGAUACAAAAUUUUAUGGAGAUUCCCUUUUAGUGAACCCUUGAGUUAGGAACAAAAGUGAACAUUUAAGUUAGAAACACUCCCACCCUCAAAAUACAUCUGACUGAUAUUAAAUAUAUAUUAUAUAUAAAGCUAAAAAUAAUAUUUUGCAGUUAGUUAUGUCAUCCUUAUAAUAAACCUACGAAAUGGGCAAAAAUACCACUACUAGGUGUUCUAAGCAUUGCUCCAAGCACUUUACAUGCAGAGCUCAUUUAAUCUUUAUAAUAAGACUACUAGAUGGAUACUAAUAUUAAGUUCAUUCCAUAGAUAGGGAAACUGAAGCUUCAAUAGGUAUCCCAAGCAUCUGACUUCAAGUCCAAUUUAUUUCUCACUGUAUCGCAGAGACCUCUGCUUGAUAGUCUGAUAUGGAGGUUAUUCAGGUUAUUAAUUGAUCUUUGAGACACUUUUGUUCUCAUUUUUCUAUAGGCAAUUUAAAACUAUUGAGGGCAAAUAUUCUGAACUUAUAGUCACACCAGCUAGUUGUUGGCACUCUCAAAUUUGCCUUGUCAAUACUCAUUUCACCUGUGUCUCACUUUAGGUCACUGUCUGGUUAGAAAAGAGCUCAAAUCUCCAGAUUCCUUGUUCUCAUAUCUUUUCUGGAAAUCAGUUUUUGUUUUUGUUUUUCCUCAAAACUUAUACGGUUAAGUAAAAGCAUGCAAAGCAGAAAUCCCUUCCAGGUACUGAGAAAUCAAAGCGUCAUACAAAACAUUCCUAAAUCCUUGACUAGCUUUUUAUCAAC